This 28-nucleotide non-coding RNA is filed under the name Mus musculus (house mouse). Lineage: Eukaryota; Metazoa; Chordata; Mammalia; Rodentia; Muridae. The record is from RNAcentral.
UCCGAUGUUAAUCUUGCUUUAGCUUUUU